UACGGGGGGGGCAAGCGUUGUUCGGAAUUACUGGGCGUAAAGGGCGCGUAGGCGGCCUGCUAAGUCGAACGUGAAAUCCCCGGGCUCAACCCGGGAACUGCGUCCGAUACUGGCAGGCUUGAAUUCGGGAGAGGGAUGCGGAAUUCCAGGUGUAGCGGUGAAAUGCGUAGAUAUCUGGAGGAACACCGGUGGCGAAGGCGGCAUCCUGGACCGACACUGACGCUGAGGAGCGAAAGCCAGGGGAGCAAACGGG
This 253-nucleotide ribosomal RNA is filed under the name uncultured bacterium. RNAcentral's name for it is "partial 16S ribosomal RNA". It matches the Rfam family "Bacterial small subunit ribosomal RNA", at positions 524 to 776 of the family's 1533-position model. The record is from RNAcentral.